UAACACGUAGGUAAUCUACCUCUGGAUGGGGAAUAACACCGAGAAAUCGGUGCUAAUACCGCAUAAUGCAGCGGCACCUAAUGGUGACAGUUGUUAAAGCGGGGGAUCGAAAGACCUCGCGUCUAAAGAGGAGCCUGCGGCGGAUUAGCUUGCUGGUAAGGUAACGGCUUACCAAGGCGAUGAUCCGUAGCCGGCCUGAGAGGGCGGUCGGCCACACUGACACUGACAUACGGGUCAGACUCCUACGGGAGGCAGCAGUCGGGAAUUUUGGGCAAUGGGCGAAAGCCUGACCCAGCAACGCCGCGUGAAGGAUGAAAUCCCUCGGGAUGUAAACUUCGCAAGAACGGGAAGAAUAAGUUGGUGCGAAUAUCACCAGCGAUGACGGUACCGUUUGUAAGCUCCGGCUAACUCCGUGCCAGCAGCCGCGGUAAUACGGGGGGAGCAAGCGUUGUUCGGAUUUACUGGGCGUAAAGGGCGCGUAGGCGGCACUGCAAGUCGGUUGUGAAAUCUCCGGGCUUAACCCGGAAAGGUCAACCGAUACUGCGGGGCU
This 550-nucleotide ribosomal RNA is filed under the name uncultured soil bacterium. Its description in RNAcentral is "bacterial SSU rRNA". It matches the Rfam family "Bacterial small subunit ribosomal RNA", at positions 111 to 642 of the family's 1533-position model. The record is from RNAcentral.